RNA transcript from Otolemur garnettii (small-eared galago), 1825 nucleotides. It is a transcript of the gene named choline kinase beta, with no coding region annotated. Lineage: Eukaryota; Metazoa; Chordata; Mammalia; Primates; Galagidae. The record is from RefSeq and is a predicted model, not a curated record. The transcript has 10 exons.
UCAGACCCCCUACACACACAUACACAAAGAAGUAGGCCACUGGUUGUUGCCCCGAAUAGGGGCUGGGCACGAAGGAGACCCACUGAAUUCGGCCUUCGGAAAGAGGCCCGGAACAGGGUCACGGACAGAGCCGAACAACGCCGGGAAGAGCCGAAUAGAGCCGGAGAGACCCGAGUAUAACCGGAGAAGCGAAGACCGGCCGGAAGAGGAGCCGAGCGCGGCCGGAAGGAGCCGAGCCCGUCCGAAGGAGGCGGAGCGCGGCUGGGCGUUGGGCCCACCGAGCCCGCGCCAUGGCGGAGGGGACUGAUGUGGUCGGAGGUGGGGCUGUUGGUGGCCUCCUGGCAAAGGACCUCUUGCGGCAAUCUAAGAGCCCAGACGCGGUCCCGAACCGGCGGCGCUUCUCGUCGCUGUCGCGUGACGCUGAGCGCCGAGCCUACCAGUGGUGCCGGGAGUACUUGGGCGGGGCCUGGCGCCGAGUGCACCCGGAGGAGCUGAGGGUUUACCCCGUGAGCGGAGGCCUCAGUAACCUGCUCUUCCGCUGCUCGCUCCCGGACCACCUGCCUAGCGUUGGCGAGGAGCCCCGGGAGGUCCUGCUACGGCUGUAUGGGGCCAUUCUGCAGGGCGUGGACUCCCUGGUCCUCGAAAGCGUGAUGUUUGCCAUCCUUGCAGAGCGGUCACUGGGGCCCCAGCUCUACGGAGUCUUUCCUGAGGGCCGGCUAGAACAGUACAUCCCAGUACGAGCCAAGCCCUGCCCACUCCUCACCCCCAGUCCCCCUCCCCAGUGUCCACCUUCACAUCCCUCACCCCAGAGCCGGCCAUUGAAAACUCAAGAGCUUCGAGAGCCGAUGUUGUCAGCAGCUAUUGCCACGAAGAUGGCCCAGUUCCAUGGCAUGGAGAUGCCUUUCACCAAGGAGCCCCACUGGUUGUUUGGGACCAUGGAGCGGUACCUACAGCAGAUACAGGACCUGCCCCCAACUGGUCCUCCCCAGAUGAAUCUACUGGAGGUAUACAGCCUGAAGGAAGAGAUGGGCAACCUCAGGAAGUUGCUGGAUGCUACUCCAUCACCAGUGGUCUUCUGCCACAAUGACAUCCAGGAAGGUAGGAGAAGGCAGCUGAGUCUCCCAACCCAAGGUGGAGGUGCCAGAGAGCCCAGGAGUGACCACAACCCUACCCCCUUCUCCCAGGGAACAUCUUGCUGCUCUCAGAGCCAGAAAGUGCUGACAGCCUCAUGCUGGUGGACUUUGAGUACAGUAGUUACAACUAUAGGGGCUUUGACAUUGGAAACCAUUUUUGUGAGUGGGUUUAUGAUUAUACACAUGAGGAAUGGCCUUUCUACAAAGCAAGGCCCGAAGACUACCCCACACAAGGACAGCAGAGGUAAAGAAAGGUGAGGCCCUUCUCUCCCGAGAUGAGCAGAGAAGACUAGAAGAGGAUUUGCUGGCAGAGGUCAAUCGAUAUGCUCUGGCAUCCCAUUUCUUCUGGGGUCUGUGGUCUAUCCUCCAGGCAUCCAUGUCCACUAUAGAAUUUGGUUAUAUGGAGUAUGCCCAGUCUCGGUUCCAGUUCUACUUCCAACAGAAGGGACAGCUGACCAGCUUCCACCCCUCAUCCUGACUUUCCACCCUCCCAGUCCUUGGACUUCUCCCAGAGUCUCCAGGGCAGGACCUUGGAGGGAGCAGCAAAGAGCAGAAGGCCCUGGGCACCUGGGCUGAUGCCCCCAGUGAGACUGGGUUGAGGUUGACCUCUCCCUGAGUUUGAGCAGGUCCCGUGGCAGGCAGAGAACCCCUGUACUGUGUAUCUUAGCACAAUAAACAUGCUUCUUCCUUCA